RNAcentral lists this ribosomal RNA (482 nucleotides) under Geobacillus stearothermophilus. RNAcentral's name for it is "bacterial LSU rRNA". It matches the Rfam family "Bacterial large subunit ribosomal RNA", at positions 2446 to 2925 of the family's 2925-position model. The record is from RNAcentral. Lineage: Bacteria; Bacillati; Bacillota; Bacilli; Caryophanales; Anoxybacillaceae.
CGCUCAACGGAUAAAAGCUACCCCGGGGAUAACAGGCUGAUCUCCCCCAAGAGUCCACAUCGACGGGGAGGUUUGGCACCUCGAUGUCGGCUCAUCGCAUCCUGGGGCUGUAGUCGGUCCCAAGGGUUGGGCUGUUCGCCCAUUAAAGCGGUACGCGAGCUGGGUUCAGAACGUCGUGAGACAGUUCGGUCCCUAUCCGUCGCGGGCGUAGGAAAUUUGAGAGGAGCUGUCCUUAGUACGAGAGGACCGGGAUGGACGCACCGCUGGUGUACCAGUUGUCCCGCCAGGGGCACCGCUGGGUAGCUAUGUGCGGACGGGAUAAGCGCUGAAAGCAUCUAAGCGUGAAGCCCACCUCAAGAUGAGAUUUCCCACCGCGUCAGGCGGGUAAGAUCCCUCGAAGAUGACGAGGUCGAUAGGUCCGAGGUGGAAGCGUGGCGACACGUGGAGCUGACGGAUACUAAUCGAUCGAGGGCUUAACCUAA